GAUGAACGCUGGCGGCGUGCCUAACACAUGCAAGUCGAACGGAGUCCAGCCUUUAAGACCUUCGGGUCAAAGAGGGGAAGACUGAGUGGCGGACGGGUGAGUAACACGUGGGCAACCUGGCUCAUAGAGGGGGAUAACAGAGAGAAAUUUCUGCUAAUACCGCAUAAGCACACACUGCCGCAUGGCAGAGGGUGAAAAGAGAAUCGCUAUGAGAUGGACCCGCGUCUGAUUAGCCAGUUGGCAGGGUAAGAGCCUACCAAAGCGACGAUCAGUAGCCGAUCUGAGAGGAUGAACGGCCACAUUGGGACUGAGACACGGCCCAAACUCCUACGGGAGGCAGCAGUGGGGGAUAUUGCACAAUGGGGGGAACCCUGAUGCAGCGACGCCGCGUGAGUGAAGAAGUAUUUCGGUAUGUAAAGCUCUAUCAGCAGGGAAGAUAAUGGCAGUACCUGAAUAAGAAGCCCCGGCUAACUACGUG
RNAcentral lists this ribosomal RNA (478 nucleotides) under uncultured bacterium. RNAcentral describes it as "partial 16S ribosomal RNA". It matches the Rfam family "Bacterial small subunit ribosomal RNA", at positions 28 to 507 of the family's 1533-position model. The record is from RNAcentral.